RNAcentral lists this ribosomal RNA (497 nucleotides) under uncultured bacterium. Its description in RNAcentral is "partial 16S ribosomal RNA". It matches the Rfam family "Bacterial small subunit ribosomal RNA", at positions 28 to 507 of the family's 1533-position model. The record is from RNAcentral.
GAUGAACGCUGGCGGCGUGCCUAAUACAUGCAAGUCGAGCGAACAGAUGAGGAGCUUGCUCCUCUGACGUUAGCGGCGGACGGGUGAGUAACACGUGGAUAACCUACCUAUAAGACUGGGAUAACUUCGGGAAACCGGAGCUAAUACCGGAUAAUAUAUUGAACCGCAUGGUUCAAUAGUGAAAGACGGUUUUGCUGUCACUUAUAGAUGGAUCCGCGCCGCAUUAGCUAGUUGGUAAGGUAACGGCUUACCAAGGCAACGAUGCGUAGCCGACCUGAGAGGGUGAUCGGCCACACUGGAACUGAGACACGGUCCAGACUCCUACGGGAGGCAGCAGUAGGGAAUCUUCCGCAAUGGGCGAAAGCUUGACGGAGCAACGCCGCGUGAGUGAUGAAGGUCUUCGGAUCGUAAAACUCUGUUAUUAGGGAAGAACAAAUGUAUAAGUAACUAUGCACGUCUUGACGGUACCUAAUCAGAAAGCCACGGCUAACUACGUG